UGGGUUUGUCCUAAGCCAAACUUCUCCAUGUUUGACAAACUUAAUAGAAAAGUUCAGCAGCAUUUCCAACACAAAACAAAUAUAAUAUAAUAUAAUAUAAAAAUAUAUUCAUUGGUGGACUUAAUGAAACUAAUUAGAUGCUGUAGAUGUCGCUAUGUUUUUCUAUAAACUUGGUCAAACUUGAAGAAGUUUGACUUAGGACAAACCCAA
This 210-nucleotide microRNA precursor is filed under the name Oryza meridionalis. Its description in RNAcentral is "MIR1435 microRNA precursor family". It matches the Rfam family "MIR1435 microRNA precursor family". Lineage: Eukaryota; Viridiplantae; Streptophyta; Magnoliopsida; Poales; Poaceae. The record is from Rfam by way of RNAcentral.